Molecule: ribosomal RNA, 879 nt
Filed under: Bacillus cereus
Lineage: Bacteria; Bacillati; Bacillota; Bacilli; Caryophanales; Bacillaceae
Description: bacterial SSU rRNA
Rfam family: Bacterial small subunit ribosomal RNA
Source: RNAcentral
UAUACAUGCAGUCGAGCGAAUGRAUUAAGAGCUUGCUCUUAUGAAGUUAGCGGCGGACGGGUGAGUAACACGUGGGUAACCUGCCCAUAAGACUGGGAUAACUCCGGGAAACCGGGGCUAAUACCGGAUAAYAUUUUGAACYGCAUGGUUCGAAAUUGAAAGGCGGCUUCGGCUGUCACUUAUGGAUGGACCCGCGUCGCAUUAGCUAGUUGGUGAGGUAACGGCUCACCAAGGCAACGAUGCGUAGCCGACCUGAGAGGGUGAUCGGCCACACUGGGACUGAGACMCGGCCCAGACUCCUACGGGAGGCAGCAGUAGGGAAUCUUCCGCAAUGGACGAAAGUCUGACGGAGCAACGCCGCGUGAGUGAUGAAGGCUUUCGGGUCGUAAAACUCUGUUGUUAGGGAAGAACAAGUGCUAGUUGAAUAAGCUGGCACCUUGACGGUACCUAACCAGAAAGCCACGGCUAACUACGUGCCAGCAGCCGCGGUAAUACGUAGGUGGCAAGCGUUAUCCGGAAUUAUUGGGCGUAAAGCGCGCGCAGGUGGUUUCUUAAGUCUGAUGUGAAAGCCCACGGCUCAACCGUGGAGGGUCAUUGGAAACUGGGAGACUUGAGUGCAGAAGAGGAAAGUGGAAUUCCAUGUGUAGCGGUGAAAUGCGUAGAGAUAUGGAGGAACACCAGUGGCGAAGGCGACUUUCUGGUCUGUAACUGACACUGAGGCGCGAAAGCGUGGGGGAGCAAACAGGAUUAGAUACCCUGGUAGUCCACGCCGUAACGAUGAGUGCUAAGUGUUAGAGGGUUUCCGCCCUUUAGUGCUGAAGUUAACGCAUUAAGCACUCCGCCUGGGGAGUACGGCCGCAAGGCCUGAACUCAAGGGAA